This 245-nucleotide ribosomal RNA is filed under the name uncultured bacterium. RNAcentral describes it as "partial 16S ribosomal RNA". It matches the Rfam family "Bacterial small subunit ribosomal RNA", at positions 524 to 767 of the family's 1533-position model. The record is from RNAcentral.
UACAGAGGGUGCAAGCGUUAUCCGGAUUUAUUGGGCGUAAAGCGUUUCGUAGGUGACUGGGCAAGUUAUCUUUCAAAGACCACGGCUUAACCGGGGGAAGGGAGGUAAUACUACCUAGUUUGAUUUAUGGUGGGGCUUCUGGAACUGAUGGUGUAGUAGUGAAAUACGUUGAUAUCAUCAGGAACUCCAAGGGCGAAGGCAGGAAGCUAACCAUGUAAUGACACUGAGGAACGACAGCUAGGGGA